RNAcentral lists this ribosomal RNA (817 nucleotides) under uncultured bacterium. RNAcentral describes it as "bacterial SSU rRNA". It matches the Rfam family "Bacterial small subunit ribosomal RNA", at positions 97 to 916 of the family's 1533-position model. The record is from RNAcentral.
GGCGCACGGGUGCGUAACGCGUAUGCAACCUACCUCUUACAGGGGAAUAGCUUCCGGAAACGGAAAUUAAUACCGCAUAAUAUAUUUGAAUCGCAUGGUUUAGAUAUUAAAAUUUCGGUGGUAAGAGAUGGGCAUGCGUCCCAUUAGCUAGUUGGCGGGGUAACGGCCCACCAAGGCAAUGAUGGGUAGGGGGUCUGAGAGGAUGAUCCCCCACACUGGUACUGAGAUACGGACCAGACUCCUACGGGAGGCAGCAGUAGGGAAUAUUGGUCAAUGGGCGCGAGCCUGAACCAGCCAUGCCGCGUGUAGGAAGACGGCCUUCUGGGUUGUAAACUACUUUUAUCAGGGAAGAAAACGUCCAUGCGUGGAUAAUUGACGGUACCUGAAGAAUAAGCACCGGCUAACUCCGUGCCAGCAGCCGCGGUAAUACGGAGGGUGCAAGCGUUGUCCAGAUUUAUUGGGUUUAAAGGGUGCGUAGGCGGUUUUAUAAGUCAGUGGUGAAAGACGUCAGCUUAACUGUCGCAGUGCCAUUGAUACUGUAGAACUUGAGUAUAGUUGAGGUAGGCGGAAUUUAUGGUGUAGCGGUGAAAUGCAUAGAUACCAUAAGGAACCCCAAUAGCGUAGGCAGCUUACUAAACUAUAACUGACGCUGAGGCACGAAAGCAUGGGUAGCGAACAGGAUUAGAUACCCUGGUAGUCCAUGCCGUAAACUAUGAUUACUCGAUGUGUGCGAUACACAGUACGCGUCCAAGCGAAAGCGUUAAGUAAUCCACCUGGGGAGUACGCUCGCAAGAGUGAAACUCAAAGGAAUUGACGG